GCAGUCGAACGCAAUCUUUGACUAAUGAGUGCUUGCACUCAGCGGUCAAAGUGCGAGUGGCGAACGGGUGAGUAACACGUGGGCAAUCUGCCCAAAAGUGGGGGAUAACACUUGGAAACAGGUGCUAAUACCGCAUCAACCGGCUGACCGCAUGGUCGGCCGGGCAAAGACGGCGUCAGCUGUCGCUUUUGGAUGAGCCCGCGGCGUAUUAACUAGUUGGUAAGGUAACGGCUUACCAAGGUGAUGAUACGUAGCCGAACUGAGAGGUUGAUCGGCCACAUUGGGACUGAGACACGGCCCAAACUCCUACGGGAGGCAGCAGUAGGGAAUCUUCCACAAUGGACGCAAGUCUGAUGGAGCAACGCCGCGUGUAUGAAGAAGGUCUUCGGAUCGUAAAAUACUGUUGUCAGAGAAGAACACGUGAUAGAGUAACUGCUAUGACGCUGACGGUAUCUGACCAGCAAGUCACGGCUAACUACGUGCCAGCAGCCGCGGUAAUACGUAGGUGGCAAGCGUUGUCCGGAUUUAUUGGGCGUAAAGGGAACGCAGGCGGUCUUUUAAGUCUGAUGUGAAAGCCUUCGGCUUAACCGGAGAAGUGCAUUGGAAACUGGAAGACUUGAGUGCAGAAGAGGAGAGUGGAACUCCAUGUGUAGCGGUGAAAUGCG
Molecule: ribosomal RNA, 665 nt
Filed under: Ligilactobacillus acidipiscis
Lineage: Bacteria; Bacillati; Bacillota; Bacilli; Lactobacillales; Lactobacillaceae
Description: bacterial SSU rRNA
Rfam family: Bacterial small subunit ribosomal RNA
Source: RNAcentral